AGAGUUUGAUCAUGGCUCAGGACGAACGCUGGCGGCGCGCCUAACACAUGCAAGUCGAACGAGCGAGAGAGAGCUUGCUUUCUCGAGCGAGUGGCGAACGGGUGAGUAACGCGUGAGGAACCUGCCUCAAAGAGGGGACAACAGUUGGAAACGACUGCUAAUACCGCAUAAGCCCACGGGUCGGCAUCGACCAGAGGGAAAGGAGCAAUCCGCUUUGAGAUGGCCUCGCGUCCGAUUAGCUAGUUGGUGAGGUAACGGCCACCAAGGCGACGGAUCGGUAGCCGGACUGAGAGGUUGAACGGCCACAUUGGGACUGAGACACGGCCCAGACUCCUACGGGAGCA
Molecule: ribosomal RNA, 344 nt
Filed under: uncultured bacterium
Lineage: Bacteria
Description: bacterial SSU rRNA
Rfam family: Bacterial small subunit ribosomal RNA
Source: RNAcentral